GCCCACAAGACUGUACUCACAUUAAAACUUUAAACCCACUUUAAACUGGAUUUCAUCUGACAGCACCAACUUAAGAUGAUAAAUAUUGAUUUAUUAUUCAUUGUUAGUGUAGUACUUUGUUCAGCAUAUGCACAAAGCCAAACAAAAAAUGGCUUGGGUGAUAGCCGAUGUCUAAAUUUGCUGAAAAGCAAUUAUAGACAGCUAUUUAAUGGCAGGCUCCCAUUGUGACAACUUACCCCAAUGGUAGCGAGAGCUCUUACAGUAUAUGGGGCAUGUUGUCGCAUGUUUUCUCCUGGCCAAUAAUGUUCAGUAGCUUUCCCAUUGACAAGGCUUAAGGUUCAUGUCAACAAAAGUGUUUUAAAACGCAAUCCUACCCUGCCCUCUUUUUUAAGAAUUGAGAGAAAAUUAACUAUAAUUGGAUAAGACGAUAAAAUGGUGUAUUAGUGCAGAUAACGUCACAGAUGUGCAGAAAUGUGACUAUUUUAGGCAGGGCAGGUGAAGUUGUAGGUUAUGUUGGUGUUGAAAUUCCGCUAUUGGCACGUGUGCAAAUCCAUCGCUCGCGCUCUCGCGCACUACAGACAGAGCAGUGUUGUCUCGAGCUCGCCGUGAGCGGACUGUUACCGAGGAGGGAGGGACACGCAGUCCUGAGAUGCUCCUUCACGAGGAGCAAAGCAAUACAUCAGCGACUCCAAUGCGGUGCCAAAUGUUUCUAAUUCGGUUUCUGCGUCCGUUUCCCGCAGGAUGCCGUUUGGUAAAAAAUGCGCAUAUGAAAUAAACGUGGGCGGGAUCCCUUCUGCGUUGGCCACUGGAUCUAACAUUCGGAGAAACGCUGGAAAAUACAUCUGUAUGCUGAGCAAACUGGAUGAGAGAUUUCUGAGGGAGAUGUGUGAAUAGACGCUUUGUCCUUUGCGUCUUUUUUUCUCGCCUUCUGAAUGGCUUGUAUACGCGUUUCUCCUCAAAUGGUUUUAUUUUCGGGUUUAUCUACUAAAUGCGUCGAUGUCGUACUGUUUUUAGUUCACUCGAUAGUGCCAUGUUUCCUCUGAGGCGAUCCGACGUGAGCCGAAAAGUCGGACUGGACCUCCUUAAGAAGCAAACCAUCAACAUUCCUGUAUUCUUCGACCAUUUUUAAUUCUAACUGUGUUCUGGAAGGCUAAAAUUCACGUUUUGGAUUAAAUAAACGCUGCACGGAAAGUCUGUUUUGGGGAUUUCAAACGAUCGUUUGAAUCGAGGCAGCCGUUUGGAAUGAAGAACCGUUAAGAAUCGGCGCCAAAGAUUUCGCGGCAGAUUUGGAUGCGGUUCCCUGGUCUAUAUUAAUACAUUUAUCGUUUUACAUAUAUAUCAUACAAUUAAUUUAUCCAAGUGAGCAUAUUGUUUCGAGACUCUGGACCCAGAGGAGGUGAUUUAUACAUAAUCCAUCUGAAGAUCCCGUACAUUUCAGUGCUGCUCUGAACUUGAUAAGGCACUGAAUCGAGGAGGACAUACAAGGACAGGCAGAAUAUGAACGUCCGCCUCAAUAUUAAAACCGUCUCCUGACGUCGCCUGUAACAGAAU
Cyprinus carpio carpio is the source of this 1551-nucleotide long non-coding RNA. The record is from Ensembl. Lineage: Eukaryota; Metazoa; Chordata; Actinopteri; Cypriniformes; Cyprinidae.